GAUGAACGCUGGCGGCGUGCCUAAUACAUGCAAGUCGAGCGAACAGACGAGGAGCUUGCUCCUCUGACGUUAGCGGCGGACGGGUGAGUAACACGUGGAUAACCUACCUAUAAGACUGGGAUAACUUCGGGAAACCGGAGCUAAUACCAGAUAACAUAUUGAACCGCAUGGUUCAAUAGUGAAAGACGGUUUUGCUGUCACUUAUAGAUGGAUCCGCGCCGCAUUAGCUAGUUGGUAAGGUAACGGCUUACCAAGGCAACGAUGCGUAGCCGACCUGAGAGGGUGAUCGGCCACACUGGAACUGAGACACGGUCCAGACUCCUACGGGAGGCAGCAGUAGGGAAUCUUCCGCAAUGGGCGAAAGCCUGACGGAGCAACGCCGCGUGAGUGAUGAAGGUCUUCGGAUCGUAAAACUCUGUUAUUAGGGAAGAACAAAUGUGUAAGUAACUAUGCACGUCUUGACGGUACCUAAUCAGAAAGCCACGGCUAACUACGUG
Molecule: ribosomal RNA, 497 nt
Filed under: uncultured bacterium
Lineage: Bacteria
Description: partial 16S ribosomal RNA
Rfam family: Bacterial small subunit ribosomal RNA
Source: RNAcentral